RNAcentral lists this long non-coding RNA (1243 nucleotides) under Salmo salar (Atlantic salmon). RNAcentral's name for it is "lncRNA (ENSSSAG00000108677.1)". Lineage: Eukaryota; Metazoa; Chordata; Actinopteri; Salmoniformes; Salmonidae. The record is from RNAcentral.
GCCACCCUAGUCAUAGACUGUUCUCUCUGCUACCGCACAGCAAACGGUACCGGAGCGCCAAGUCUAGGUCCAAGAGGUUUCUAAACAGCUUCUACCCCCAAGCCAUAAGACUCCUGAAUAUCUGCUACUCUCUGUUAUUUUCUAUGCAUAGUCACUUUAAUAACUCUACCUACAUGUACAUAUUACCUCAAUUACCUCGACUAACCGGUGCCCCCGCACAUUGACUCUGUACCGGUACCCCCUGUAAAUAGCCCCGCUAUUGUUAUUUUACUGCUACUGUUUAAUUAUUUGCUGCUUUUAAUAAUUAAAUGUUUUUCUUAAACUGCAUUGUUGGUUAGUGGCUUGUCAGUAAGCAUUUCACUGUAAUGUCUACACUUAUUGUAUUCGGUGACUGUGACAAAUUUAAUUUAAUUUGAUUUGAUUUGAAUUCACCAUGGAUUACAUGUAUUUGUUUUCUCACCCAUCUACACACAAUACCCCAUAAUGACAAAGUGAAACAGCUGUGAGUCGUUCAGGUGAGGACACCAACACCCCCGGCUUGCAGCUGACCACACAAGAAAACAAAAAUAGGAAAGGAAAAAAAAAAAAGUGGGUAAAAAAAUCAGAUGAAGGGAAAUGGAGAGAGGCAUUUCACCCUUUGUCCCUCCAUCCCUCCCUCCAUCCCUCCUUCCAUCCCUCCCUCCAUCCCUCCUUCCAUCCCUAUCAGCACAUAGUCAGCACAAGCUGGGGAAAGAGAAGCUCCUCUCAGCCAGCGGGAAAAAAGGCUGAAUUAACUCAAUCCCAGACACAUGAGAAGCCUGGACCGACCCUCACUGUACUGCAUGGACCAGAAGAAAGAGCUGCAGCUGUAAGAAGAGAGGAAAAGGGAGAGAGAGAGAGACAGAAUAGAGAUCUCCAGCUGUAAGAAGAGAGAGAGAGACAGAAUAGAGAUCUCCAGCUGUAAGAAGAGAGAGAGACAGAAUAGAGAUCUCCAGCUGUAAGAGAGAGAGAGAGAGAGAGAGAGAGAGAGAAUAGAGAUCUCCAGCUAUAAGAAGAGAGAGAGAGAGAGAGAAUAGAGAUCUCCAGCUGUAAGAAGAGAGAGAGACAGAAUAGAGAUCUCCAGCUGUAAGAAGAGAGAGAGACAGACAGAAUAGAGAUCUCCAGCUGUAAGAAGAGAGAGAGACAGAAUAGAGAUCUCCAGCUGUAAGAAGAGAGAGAGAGAGACAGAAUAGAGAUCUCCAGCUGAAAGAAGAGAGAGAGAGAG